Molecule: ribosomal RNA, 327 nt
Filed under: uncultured eukaryote
Lineage: Eukaryota
Description: partial 18S ribosomal RNA
Rfam family: Eukaryotic small subunit ribosomal RNA
Source: RNAcentral
CCCUUAGAUGUUCUGGGCCGCACGCGCGCUACACUGACGAAUGCAACGAGCUUAUAACCUUGGCCGAAAGGUCUGGGUAAUCUCCAAAUUUCGUCGUGAUGGGGAUAGAUUAUUGCAAUUAUUAAUCUUCAACGAGGAAUGCCUAGUAAGCGCAAGUCAUCAGCUUGCGUUGAUUACGUCCCUGCCCUUUGUACACACCGCCCGUCGCUCCUACCGAUUGAAUGGUCCGGUGAAGCGCUCGGACCGCGGCCUCUUGACGGUUUUCCGUCGAUUGGCUGUAGGAAGUUCGUUAAACCUUAUCAUUUAGAGGAAGGAGAAGUCGUAACA